GGGCGCAUAGCUCAGUUGGUUAGAGUGCUUCCUUGACAUGGAAGAGGUCAGUGGUUCAAGUCCACUUGCGCCCA
Molecule: transfer RNA, 74 nt
Filed under: Candidatus Omnitrophota bacterium
Lineage: Bacteria; Pseudomonadati; Candidatus Omnitrophota
Description: tRNA-Val
Rfam family: tRNA
About the family: Transfer RNA (tRNA) molecules are approximately 80 nucleotides in length. Their secondary structure includes four short double-helical elements and three loops (D, anti-codon, and T loops).
Source: RNAcentral